CAGCCGCGGUAAUACCAGCUCCAAUAGCGUAUAUUUAAGUUGUUGCAGUUAAAAAGCUCGUAGUUGGAUUUCGGGUGGGUUCCAGCGGUCUGCCUCUGGUAUGUACUGCUGUGGCCUACCUUUCUGCCGGGGACGUGUUCCUGGGCUUCAUUGUCCGGGACUCGAAUUCGGCGAGGAUACUUUGAGUAAAACAGCGUGUUCAAAGCAAGCCUACGCUCUGAAUGCAUUAGCAUGGAAUAUCACGAUAGGACUCUGGCCUAUCUUGUUGGUCUGUAGGACCGGAGUAAUGAUUAAGAGGGACAGUCGGGGGCAUUCGUAUUUCAUUGUCAGAGGUGAAAUUCUUGGAUUUAUGAAAGACGAACUUCUGCGAAAGCAUUUGCCAAGGAUGUUUUCAUUAAUCAAGAAUCUUUGAAACUGCAUCGUGAUGGGGCUCGAAGACUGCAAUUAUUAGUCUUCAACGAGGAAUGCCUAGUAAGCGCGAGUCAUCAGCUCGCGUUGAUUACGUCCCUGCC
This 512-nucleotide ribosomal RNA is filed under the name Haematococcus lacustris. RNAcentral's name for it is "SSU rRNA". It matches the Rfam family "Eukaryotic small subunit ribosomal RNA", at positions 571 to 1657 of the family's 1831-position model. Lineage: Eukaryota; Viridiplantae; Chlorophyta; Chlorophyceae; Chlamydomonadales; Haematococcaceae. The record is from RNAcentral.